RNAcentral lists this ribosomal RNA (305 nucleotides) under uncultured bacterium. Its description in RNAcentral is "bacterial SSU rRNA". It matches the Rfam family "Bacterial small subunit ribosomal RNA", at positions 333 to 630 of the family's 1533-position model. The record is from RNAcentral.
UGCUUCCUACGGGGCGCAGCAGUAGGGAAUCUUCCACAAUGGGCGAAAGCCUGAUGGAGCAACGCCGCGUGGGUGAAGAAGGUCUUCGGAUCGUAAAACCCUGUUGUUAGAGAAGAAAGUGCGUGAGAGUAACUGUUCACGUUUCGACGGUAUCUAACCAGAAAGCCACGGCUAACUACGUGCCAGCAGCCGCGGUAAUACGUAGGUGUCAAGCGUUAUCCGGAUUUAUUGGGCGUAAAGGGAACGCAGGCGGUCUUUUAAGGCUGAUGUGAAAGACUUCGGCUUAACCGGAGUAAUGCAUUGGG